RNAcentral lists this ribosomal RNA (253 nucleotides) under uncultured bacterium. Its description in RNAcentral is "partial 16S ribosomal RNA". It matches the Rfam family "Bacterial small subunit ribosomal RNA", at positions 524 to 776 of the family's 1533-position model. The record is from RNAcentral.
UACAGAGGGGGCAAGCGUUGUUCGGAAUUACUGGGCGUAAAGGGCGCGUAGGCGGGCUGCCAAGUUUGGGGUGAAAUCCUCCGGCUCAACCGGGGAAGUGCCUUGAAUACUGGCGUGCUCGAGGGAGGUAGGGGCAGCGGGAACUGCCGGUGGAGCGGUGAAAUGCGUUGAUAUCGGCAGGAACGCCGGUGGCGAAAGCGCGCUGCUGGACCUCUUCUGACGCUGAUGCGCGAAAGCUAGGGGAGCAAACGGG